UGGUGAUAAAUGGACAAAAAAUUAAGGAAGCAUGGGCCAAAUGCAAGUACUGCACAUAUAAAGCAAAGAGAAAUAGCAAGAAUGGGACAUCAGUCUUCUUGAACCAUAUUAAUAUGCAUAGAGAAAUAGCAAGUAUGUCUGAUUACCUCUUGAUAAUUACUGCUAUUUUAUUUCUAUAAAGUGACAACAAUUUUUCUGUAAAUUUGAACGCCGCUGCUACAUAGGACAAUCAAGGAAUGGACAAUUCGCUAAUGUAUAUUAGUAUAUACUUAUUAGUUAUUACCUAGCUUCUAUCGUCUUUGCACAUACAGAUUAGUGUGUGUGUGUGUGUGUGUUCGAACUACUUAGUUCAUGACAACUAAUUAUCAAAUAUUUCUUUGAUUGUCCAGUGUAGCAUCUAAAUAUGUUUUAUCAUUCUCAUAGGAUGUUGCAAGUGGACUGGAAGAAACACCAUGUUGAAGAGAAGUCAAGGAUGUGUUACGGGCUUCUACUUGAUAGAUUACUUGCCUUUUAUAAUAAAUAAAAACUUCAAUAGAAUUUUGAAUUAAGUAUUUCUUAAGUAAGACAUUUGUCUUGGACGUGUGUAAUGCUAUCAUCAU
RNAcentral lists this long non-coding RNA (599 nucleotides) under Triticum aestivum (bread wheat). Its description in RNAcentral is "long non-coding RNA (TAES_LNC004408)". Lineage: Eukaryota; Viridiplantae; Streptophyta; Magnoliopsida; Poales; Poaceae. The record is from RNAcentral.